AUGGUUGUUGAUUAUCGUGGUUUGAAUGAAGUGACAAUCAAGAAUAAGUACCCACUACCGAUGAUCAAUGAUCUGUUUGACCAGUUGCAAGGAGCUAAAGUAUUUUCCAAGAUCGAUCUACGUUCAGGAUAUCACCAGCUGAAGAUUCGAGAGCCGGAUAUACCCAAGACAGCUUUUACCACGAGGUAUGGGCUAUAUGAGUAUACCGUUAUGUCAUUUGGACUGACUAACACACCUACCUAUUUCAUGAACAUGAUGAACAAGGUGUUUAUGGAGUUUUCGGAUAAGUUCGUCGUGGUGUUCAUUGAUGAUAUUCUAGUCUACUCGAAGAAUCAAGAGGAGCAUAAGGAGCAUUUGCAUUUGGUACUUGGGAAGCUCAUA
RNAcentral lists this ribosomal RNA (381 nucleotides) under Triticum aestivum (bread wheat). Its description in RNAcentral is "partial small subunit ribosomal RNA". The record is from RNAcentral. Lineage: Eukaryota; Viridiplantae; Streptophyta; Magnoliopsida; Poales; Poaceae.